Molecule: ribosomal RNA, 195 nt
Filed under: Triticum aestivum (bread wheat)
Lineage: Eukaryota; Viridiplantae; Streptophyta; Magnoliopsida; Poales; Poaceae
Description: partial small subunit ribosomal RNA
Source: RNAcentral
AUGGGGCAGCUGACGGUGUGCAUGCCGGCGAUCACCACCGGUGCCAAGCCGAGCGGCGCGUGCUGCUCCAACCUGCGCGCGCAGCAGGGGUGCUUCUGCCAGUACGCCAAGGACCCCUCCCUCGGCCGCUACAUCACCAGUCCCCAUGCGCGCGAGACCCUCGUCUCCUGCGGCCUCGCCGUCCCGCACUGCUAG